Molecule: ribosomal RNA, 442 nt
Filed under: Granulicatella adiacens
Lineage: Bacteria; Bacillati; Bacillota; Bacilli; Lactobacillales; Carnobacteriaceae
Description: bacterial SSU rRNA
Rfam family: Bacterial small subunit ribosomal RNA
Source: RNAcentral
CUAAUACAUGCAAGUCGAACGAGAGCGACCGGUGCUUGCACUGGUCAAUCUAGUGGCGAACGGGUGAGUAACACGUGGGUAACCUGCCCAUCAGAGGGGGAUAACAUCCGGAAACGGAUGCUAAAACCGCAUAGGUCUUCGAACCGCAUGGUUUGAAGAGGAAAAGAGGCGCAAGCUUCUGCUGAUGGAUGGACCCGCGGUGCAUUAGCUAGUUGGUGAGGUAACGGCUCACCAAGGCCGUGAUGCAUAGCCGACCUGAGAGGGUGAUCGGCCACAUUGGGACUGAGACACGGCCCAAACUCCUACGGGAGGCAGCAGUAGGGAAUCUUCCGCAAUGGACGCAAGUCUGACGGAGCAACGCCGCGUGAGUGAAGAAGGUUUUCGGAUCGUAAAACUCUGUUGUUAGAGAAGAACAAGUGCUAGAGUAACUGUUAGCGCCUUG